RNAcentral lists this long non-coding RNA (6202 nucleotides) under Sus scrofa (pig). RNAcentral's name for it is "lncRNA (ENSSSCG00065057166.1)". The stretch from base 5969 to 6031 matches the Rfam family "Small nucleolar RNA SNORD113/SNORD114 family". The record is from RNAcentral. Lineage: Eukaryota; Metazoa; Chordata; Mammalia; Artiodactyla; Suidae.
CUGUCUGUCUGUCUAGCACCACAGCUCGGGCGCUGCUGCAGAGGGAAGAAAGAUUUGGGGAGAGGGGCUCAGAGACGGGCUGGGGGUGGGGUCUCCCUGGCUGAUUUUGGCCUGAAAAGGAUAGCUCCUUCGGCUUAGGGACUAGGGCUGGGACUGGGUGACAGGUGGGGAAACAGGCACAGAGAGGGCAGUGCCCAUUCCUGAUGUGGUCUGGAGUGGAGCCUGGGCAGGGUGGUACCACGUGGGUGCUUUAGUCUGUGGGCCACAGAGCCUCGAGACAGAGCACAGAGAGGGAUGGCACGGGGACCCAAGGACCGGGACUGGGAGUCCUUUUACCACCUCCUAGUGGGUGCUCUUAAGUCCAUCGUACGUGUUUCAUGUUCCCCGCGACCGGGGCCCUGCAGAGGCCCAGCCGCCGCUGGACUGCAGGAAGUAUUUAUGAGCACAUCUGUGUGCUGCAAUUGUGUGUCUCUAACGGGGGAGGGGGAGGAGGGGAUUUGGUGGUGAUUAUUUAAGGUAGAGGGCAGCAAGGGGAUGGGGGCAGAAGAAGUGCGGCUCCCGCACGGUUACUGUGCUGCUUGUAUAGGAGAGAGGCACGCCCGCCUCAGGGAUGAGAGCGGGUCGGGACCAGAGGCCUGUGGGUGAUUCUCGGUAUCCGCGGGAAGGGAGCAAAGGGAUCCGAGUGGUUUGCGGUCCUUCAUGGUUUUAUUACACAUCGUAGGAGAAUAAAGAAGUUGUAAUGAUGGCCUUGAGUAGAGCAAUUGUGAGACUGUGCUGGACAAAAGACGGUGAUUAAUCCAGGUCCGCUAACCCAACAUCCGCACACAAAAAGCUCUGGGCUAUUUGCUUCCCUUUAAGGGGGCUUUGUGUUCCCUAGAAUGGGCACACUGGGGUUUCUCCUCUGGAGAAGAUCCCCGCUGUGGGGAAGGAAACUGAAGUCCGGCACAAGCCGGGACUGCUGGGCGUCCCCUGUGUAGUUAACAACGAGUAUGGACGCACCGAGGAAGUGAGAGCGCCAACACGCGCCAAUGCGGAGAGCGUGUCUAUGGACAGGUGUUAGGAGCGAUCUGGCUCUACCCAAAGUAGUUGUUAAAAAUAGUGAAACAGACACCCAACUGUGGGUGUGGGUAGGAAGCAUAGCCCCAGGUGUAUUUAAGAAAAGAAAAGUAAAAGGAGUUCCCUGGCGGCUCAGGGGGUGAAGGAUCUGGUGUCGUCAUUGAUGUGGCUCAGGUCACUGCUGUGGUAUGGGUUCAAGGCCUGGCCCUGGAAUUUACAUAUAUACAUGUCAUGGGAAUGGCCAACAAAAAACCAAAAAAGCCCAGAUGUGUGGAACAGUCAUUGGUCCUGGGCUGAAUGGUGCCUUCGUGUGUAUCUGCCUAUGGUCGGAAAUGAAUUAGACGCGUAAAUAAAAUACAGGACGAAAUCAGAGCAGACCAAGUGGGAACCAUCCAAGAUAAGGUUUUACGAAUUACAGAGUAAGAUGAACACGCUUAUGUAGAAUCGUGGACUGUUUAGAGCAACAAAACCAAAGUUCUCACCUCUGGGAAUAAGAAGCAUCGUUUUAUUGUGUGUUGGAGCUGAGUUCAUGUGUGUUCCCUGUAUUUAAAAAAAAAAAAAGUAAAAACGAGAAAAGGGACAAGUAGGAAACAAAGAGGAGAUUACAUCUGGAAUCAAAGCUAAUUAUGGCUUCAGUUCUGAGCCCAUUAGGAAAAAGAUCUGGGCUGGUCCUUCUGUGAGGAGAACAGCAGAGAGACAGAUGCUUAUCAUGGUCAUUAGUCUUGUUUCUGAUUAGGGUGGUGAAUUCAUGCAUGUUGAUUGUAAUAAAUAACAUGAUUAAACGAAAAAAUAUGCCCAGUGAGCGCUGUGCCUGGGCCGGCAGUGAGUCUGUGUCUUGAAGCAAAGGUUGUGAUUUAUCCUGGGUUGCGCAGCCGUUGGCUGUUAGCAAACAUCUAGGUUGAUUCAUCCUUUUUAACAUCUGCCUUGUGUCCCACAGAACGGAGGCCCCAGAGUGGGUCCCCUGACAUGCCGCUGGUGAAGACCGUGGCCGUGACCUCUGUGGGAAACGAGCCAUGGACCAACCAACGUUAUUACAGAAUAUUGAGUCGAUCUCCUUGUGCUAUACAGAAAGAUUCAAAAAGGACCAAGAAUGGCGAUGGGGAGUGUGGAGUUGCAUGAAGACUAUUGGCUGAUCCUUGUGCCACCAGCGAGGUCCCCUGUAGAAAGAUUCUAUUAGGUCUGAGAGAAAUGAACAAAAAUCACAGAUUCAACAUACCCAAUCUGAUUGACUCAGUGAUGAAGCUGUCAGCUGUCAGUAUCCGUGGAUACACAGCCAAGGGACUCACGGUAUAGGAUGAAGAUGAUUUUUAUCUCAAAUGAUUCUGAAAAAGAGGGCAGACGCUGAAGAGUAUGGCGCCUAUGAGGUGGAGGAAGAUUAAUGACUGAUCCUGUUCCACCCUCCUGAGGGCCAUAUAACAAGAUGGGACCUAGUUUCUCCCUGCUUCGAUUAAGUACAUGGAGAUAUGCCAGAUGCCGUACUGACUCCCCUCUUCCACUGUGACAGUCAGAGACACCUCGACAUCGGCAAGUGACCGCUGGGGGCAGUGUUGCCCCCACUGAGAAGCAUCAGGAAUGACCCCAGGACAGCACAUUUACUCAUUUUCUAAGGAACAAAAUCUUAGCAGUUAGCUCUGUGGCUUAAGAACAGAGAGAAAUUUAAUGCAAACACAGCAAGCUGAUCUGAUCCUUCUCUGACUGGGAAGACCCUGACUAUUCUGGGACUUAGGAGAUUAAAGGCCAAGGUGAGGAAGCAUCAGUGUUGGUGUUAUUACACCUGCUUUACCAUAAGGACAAAUCAGGCAAAAGGCAGAAGAGCAGGUGGACGCUAAUGAGUGAACAGAGAAUGGCUGAUUUAAUCAUUUAAUAAAGAAUUGCUAUCAUGAGCGAGCAGCAUAAAGUCUAAUAUAAAGUGAAGACACUGUCGCAUUUGGUCGUUAGCCUGUGAUGGAGACCUUGACCUUUGCCUCUCCGGAUAAAGAGAGAAGCGCUCGCUGGUGACGAUGGUGGCCAUGGCUUCCGUGGGUAAAUCGAGGAACAAAAAGGAUGCUGUUCUUGGGUCAGUGAUGACAGUGAGACUUGACUCGACUUCAUGAUUAACCUAGCACCUCCAACUGAUGUCCUUUAAGUCAGUCUGGACCCUUUGUCCUUCUGAACGUUGCUCCACAGAAUGAAGGUCACGGCUGAUUGCAUCCGUCUGUUCUGAGGAAGAUCUUGGCUGUUACCUUUCUGGAAUGGAUGUGCAAUGAUUCAAUUAAAGACUAUAGAACUUACAGUGGGUGCUCCAGGUCAAUGUAAGCAUCUUCAAGAGUCCUGCUCUCUCUGGCCGCCUCAACGUGUCCGGAACAUGGAGACUGAUAAUCAACGCCUCAGCUGAUUUCAGCUUCUGCCACGAUCAAGACUGUCCUGCUGCCACCGUUUUGUAAAAGACCAAGACUGGACUCAGCGAGAUGACUGGAAAAUUCUCUCAUGGUCACGUUCUCCGUAUAGAGACCAGAAAAGAGCACUGAACUCACCCAAGCCACCACGUUCAGGACGUCAAGGCAGCAUCUCUGUCCAGAACCAUCAAGUCCAAUGGUGGAUGCUCUCAAGCGGGUGCAGACAUUGCCCGUGGCUUCUCCUGUGUGUGAAGAGCUAGCGAGGAAGAACUGAUGCACCUGAACCGAUUAAGCAUUUGGCCAUCACAGGAGCUGCACUGGUGGUCCUGUGUGCAAAAUGGAUCCUCUAAGCUGAUUUCGACUUCUGUGAUUAAGGUUGUCACGUUGCCUCCGUGUUGGGAAAGAGACAAAGGUUUUCUGGAAGGAUUCCUUCAUUGAUAACGAUGUAAGCUGUUUUCAUGGGAAGGGAAGAACAAGUUGGUGCUAGUGAAUGAACUGAAGUGGUGUUAUCCUUCUGCCCUGGCUCUGAACUCUGUGUCAGGAGCCAAGAGACCAAUAGUGGACCUGCCUGAAGGGGUUUAGCGCCUUCCAUGAUGACAAGCUCUUUGGCGGCAUCUACACAGCAUAAGCGUGGAGACCUGGUGUGCAGCCGCCGGACCCGAAGGCAGGCUCCUUCCUGGAUGAGCAGGCGAGGAUGGCAGCGUUGUCUCUGGAUCCAGAAGGCCAGUGGUGGAAGCCGAAGGCCAGGCCAGGCUGCGUGGGGCCGAGACCCCUCCUCUGGCGGUGGUGGCAGGAGAGAUCCCAAGGAGUGGAGCCAUUCCCUGGGGAAGCCCCUGAAAGUGCAACAGUGGGUGUGACAGAGGAGCAGCAAUGGGCUGGAGACCUUCAGGGGCCAGGGACCUCCGUCGUCAAUGUUUGGGUCCCGGCCGGGAUGGACUUGGGUGAUGGAGAAGCCUGGUCCAGUGACUCUUCAGUGGGAAGACCGGGGCGCAGGGAAGAAGGUGUCACGAGACCGGCCUGGUGGAUGCAGGUUAUCUGAUGGAUGGCUCAAGGGGGCCCGGACUCUGUCCUGGCAGGGAUCUGUGUCCUUGUGAAGAAACGGUGGUCCCGUUUAAGGGACUGAGUGCAGCCCAGCCCCAGCCUGACCUUCAACCCCCAAGCCCUGAGGUUCUGCCUCCUUGGGCUCGUAGCAGAAUCACCUGGACCCCGGGGAAGGAGCAGAACCGGCUGACGCUUGAGUCCGCUGAGUGCAGAAAGGGCGAGUCAGUGGCGGUCCUCCUCGCUUUCCCUGUCCCUCUGUCACUGUCCCUGACUCUCUGUCUCGGUGUCUCUGCCUCAGUCUGUCCCUCUUGUCUCUCGCCUGGCUCUCUCUGUCGCCGUACGGGUCUCUUUCCUUUCUGGCAGCUUCGCGUCUGUGUGGUGGGGUGCACACCAGACCCCGGCGAGCCGAUUGGGCCCGUUUCCCUGGUGAGACCCCUAGACGAUUCCUUCAGUGGGGGAGAUGGCCAAGGAAGCAGUGUGGCAGGCAGCCGCCAGGCCCGAAGGCCGGCUCCUUCCUGGAUGAGCAGGCGAGGAUGGCAGCGUUGUCUUUGGAGCCAGGGGACCAGUGGUGGAAGCCGAAGGCCGGGCCAGGCUGCGUGGGGCCGAGACCCCUCCUCUGGCGGUGGUGGCAGGAGAGAUCCCAAGUUUUGUCCUUGGGCCAGGUGUUUGGAUUUCAUUGCCUUAGUCCUAAAUGGAGUCCCAACAUGAAGGACAUCCCUGCGACUGGAGAGCCCUGCCCCUCCGGGCUCACUAGUGGAGGCCCGAGAACAUGGAUAUUCAUGAGGGUCCCUCCGUGUGGAGUGUGUACCCCUCAGAGCAAUUGCACUGGAGAUGCUUUACCAUCUUCCGUACGGACCCGAGCUCUGGGAUUGCCUCUGAACAUACGUGUUAGGACAUGGGAGAGUCACAGGACAUGCUCCCGCUCUUUCGGCUUCUGCUGAGCUCAAGAUUGUCAGGCCGCCUCCGCGCCAGCAAAGAAGCGAAGGAGGGUGCACCGGACCUGAAUGCAGCUUUCUUCCUUGAUGAGCAGGACAGGAGCUCAAAGGGAUGUUGGCCUCCGCUGGGAUGAAGGCUCUCCUCUUGGAGUUGUUCUAGGAGAGACCAAGGGCCACACCCGCGGCAUUUGGAAGUUUCUAGGCUAGGGGUCGAAUCGGAGCCAUAGCCGCCGGCCUACACCACAGCCACAGCAACACAGGAUCCAAGCCACAUCUGCAGCCUACGCCACAGCUCAAGCCACGCUGGAUCCCUAACCCACGGCGCAAGGCCAGGAAUUGAGCUCCCUUCUUCGUGGAUACCAGUCGGGUUUGUUACCGCUGAGCCACAAUGGGAACUCCCCAGCAUAACUGUUUUAAAAAGAUAUAUUACUGUGAGAAUAAACUUACCUAAUAAGGAUAUCAUGUCUUUUCUAGGGUUUUUGUGAAUGAAUGGUUUUAAAUUAUUUUUAGUGAUUUACUGAAUUUGUCAAUAAGCCACAGAGAAAUGAGUGAAGAAAAAGAGGGACUUAUUGGUGGCAUAUGAGGCAUGUACAGUGCAUGUGUGUCUGGAACUCUGAGGUCCAGUGUGGGUGGAAUCUAGUCCAUUGUCCUGUUUGGGGUGAUUCUAGAGACACAUGUCUAGAAAAUACAAGAAACUCGUUUGUGGGUUUUUAUAUUUAUGUACUUUCUUUUGAAAUAAUUGGAUCAAUGAAAUAAAGAAUAAACAACCCAAUAAAUACAUAAAGAUGAAAACAG